This 75-nucleotide transfer RNA is filed under the name Thermoproteota archaeon. RNAcentral's name for it is "Crenarchaeota archaeon (hot springs metagenome) tRNA-His". It matches the Rfam family "tRNA". From Rfam's summary of the family: Transfer RNA (tRNA) molecules are approximately 80 nucleotides in length. Their secondary structure includes four short double-helical elements and three loops (D, anti-codon, and T loops). Lineage: Archaea; Thermoproteati; Thermoproteota. The record is from RNAcentral.
GGGCCGUCGUCCAGCCUGGACUAGGAUGCCGGCUUGUGGCGCUGGUGGUCCGGGGUUCAAAUCCCCGCGGCCCCA